Molecule: ribosomal RNA, 253 nt
Filed under: uncultured bacterium
Lineage: Bacteria
Description: partial 16S ribosomal RNA
Rfam family: Bacterial small subunit ribosomal RNA
Source: RNAcentral
UACGGGGGGGGUAAGCGUUGUUCGGAAUUACUGGGCGUAAAGGGCUCGUAGGCGGCCAACUAAGUCAGACGUGAAAUCCCUCAGCUUAACUGGGGAACUGCGUCUGAUACUGGAUGGCUUGGAUCCGGAAGAGGGAUGCGGAAUUCCAGGUGUAGCGGUGAAAUGCGUAGAUAUCUGGAGGAACACCGGUGGCGAAGGCGGCAUCCUGGGCCGGUAUUGACGCUGAGGAGCAAAAGCCAGGGGAGCAAACGGG